This 3212-nucleotide long non-coding RNA is filed under the name Numida meleagris (helmeted guineafowl). RNAcentral's name for it is "lncRNA (ENSNMEG00000012594.1)". Lineage: Eukaryota; Metazoa; Chordata; Aves; Galliformes; Numididae. The record is from RNAcentral.
GAGCUGGCCCAGCUGCUGCUGCCAAAGCAGCCGCCAAAGCCGCCAAGUAUGGUAAGAUGGGCUCACUCUGCUGUUAUCCCACAGGUCCUGUCUCCUGCCACCUCCCCACCUCAGGGUGCUUCCCUGAUCUGGGCUGAGGCUAUGCACUGCAUGGGGUCCCUGUGGGCUGGGGCAAGGGAUGAGCUUUCUGUAGGGCUGUGCAUGGGAUGAGGUCCUGGCUGUGUCAAGGAAUGCUCUCCAGAGAGCUGGCCUGCAUGGAUGCUUCUAGGUCAUCCAUACAGCUUCUCAUACAUUUGUUCAUCUAUCUCCCUUCUACCCACCCAUCCACACCACCACUCACUCAUCCACCUACCUACCUAUCCAUCCAUCCAUCCAUCCAUCCACCCAUCCAUCCAUCCAUCCAUCCAUCCAUCCAUCCACCCAUCCAUCCACUCCACCAUUCAUCCAUGCCUCCAUCCCACCACCCAUCCACCCACCACUCCAUCUGUACAAUCAACCUAGCCUGCCAUUCCCCUGUUUCAUUCACCAUCUUUCUGCCCGAGCUAGACCCCAACCUUUCUCUCCCUUUUCUUGCAGGAGCAGCUGGCCUGGUUCCCGGUGUAGGCGGCCUGGUUCCCGGCGUAGGUGGCCUUGCUCCUGGAGUAGGUGGCCUUGCUCCUGGAGUAGGUGGCCUUGCUCCUGGUGUAGGUGGCCUGGUCCCCGGUGUUGGAGGUGUCCCAGGUGUUGGAGCUCCAGCAGCAGCCGCAAAAGCAGCAGCCAAGGCAGCCAAAUAUGGUGCUGGUGUUGGAGGGGUGCCAGGCGCUGUGCCCGGUGCUCCUGUUGUGCCAGGAGUGACGCCUGGCGUUGGUGGUGUCCCCGGCUUGGUACCAGGUGUAGGGGUGCCCGGUGCUGGCGUUCUCCCCGGGGCAGGUGAGAGCAUGACAUACCCAGCUGUGUGCAGUGGGAGUGGGAUGCCUGUCCUAACCGCAGUGCCCUUGCUUGCUUUGCAGGCAUCCCUCAGGUCGGGGUGCCGCCUGGUGCUAAGCCUCCCAAAUUUGGUACGUAGCACUGCCACCAGUCCCCAGCCUGCUCCCCUUUGGGCAUCCUAUGUCAUUAUUGGGGUGCUAGUAUUACUCCAUGUCCCUGCAUGCCCUGGCAGAGUGGCCCAGGUCUGGGAGAUGGCACUCUGCACAGGGUGACAGAGUGAGGACAUUUUCCCCAUGCAGGAUGGGUCAGGGCCACCCCCCUGGGGUCACUGUCCCUUUUGUGUGGGCUGGGGGCACCCGGCCUCACUGUCUCUCUCCUGCAGGUGUGCCAGGGGCUGGAGUCCCAGGGGUUGGUGGCAUCCCAGGUAGGUGAUGCAGGGGAUGGGUGCUCUUCUGGGGCAUGGGGCUGCACAGGGAGGGUGCGGGCUGCUGCAGGGCUGGGCAGGGAGUGGGUUGGACCCAGGGCUGGCACUGCAGUAGCAAUGCCUCAUGCAAAUCCCACUGCCAUGUGAGCUGGGAGUGGUGGCAAGGCCGGCACUGCCAUGCCCAGUGUCUUCAGCCCGUUUCCCACCCUGGCCUGAAGCCCACCGCAGGCUUCCCUGAGUGCAGCCCCCAUAGCCCUGCUCUCUGUCCCCAUGGCCACCUGUGGGUGCUUACCUGGGCUCUCCAUCACAGGUGCCCUCGGGGUUGGUGGCCUCGGAGUUGGUGGCCUUGGUGCUGGUGGCCUUGGUGCUGGUGAGUUGUGCUGGUGGGCUUAGUGUUGGAGUCCCAGGGUUUGAAGGGCCGAAAAGGAAAUGGCAUUUUGGUGAUGCAGAGCCACACUGUCCCCUCCCAGCUGUGACUCUCAGGGCUGGGUUUUGGGGAGCGGGGAAGGACAGGGGCAUGGGUCCCAUGGUCCCCAUGUCCCCACCCUGCACUGUCACCGUGCCCUAUCUGUGCCCUGGGGUACAGCAGGGAGGGGAUGGCCACAGCCCCAGCAGGGCACAGGCCAUGGAGUGAGGGGACAGUACAGCAGUGUCCCAGUGUGUGAGACAGCUGGGGACCCUCUGGGCUCAGUUCGGGGGCUGUGCUGAUGCCCCUCUCUGAUGUAGGGCUCUUGUAUCCAGGAGCUGCUGGAAAACCUCCUAAGCCAGGUAAGGAACAGGGACAGCCUUAGCUGCCCCCUGAUGCUACCUCCAUCCCCAUGCCCUCACCCUCACAGGGGCUCUCCCUUCCCACAGGUUUUGGUGUUGGGGGGCUGCAGCCAGGUGAGUGCUGGGGCUGGGGGCUGGGGUGGGACUGCACCACUGCCUGCACUGCUGCACUCACUGUCCCCAUGCCACUGCCUUGCUGGGUGCACCGGGUGGGCACCCAUGGUGGGGACGGGGCUCUUGGAGCAGGUCGCACUCAGCUGUAGGCUGGGGAUGCUGCAGGCAUGCAGGGCUGUCACUGCUUGUCACUGCUGUUACUUUUCCCCCCAGGGGCUGGAGUUCCCGGUUUUGGUGUGUCACCGAUAUUUCCAGGUACCUUGCCCUGUGCCCUGUGCCAUGCCCAUGGGGACACGCAGCACAAGGGGACAUGCAGCACAUAGGGCAUGGCGACACGCAGCAUGUGGGGCAUGGGGACAUGGCCAUGGGGGAGUGGGGCAGAGCUGGGCUGGGGGACAUGGGGCAAAGCAUCCCGACGCCAAUGAGGUUUUGCUGUGCUUGCAGGUGGGGUUGCCGGUCAGCUGGGAUUUGGCGGUGAGUGCACUCUGGUCACAUGCAUGGGGACAUGGAGAUGUUGGGUUGGUGGUCCCCUCACCCUCACAGGGCACUUGUCCCCACGUUACCCCGCACCCCACUCACUGUUCUGCCUUGUCCCUGCAGGGAAGCCCCCCAAGACCUACGGAGGAGCCCUGGGGGCCCUGGGCUUUAGAGGUGAGUGCUGCCCGGCAUCCCCCCACCCCUCCUUCCAGCACCUUUCUGGGGCUUGGGGGACUGAACCACUGUCCCCCCUCCAUCCUCAGGUGGAGUUGGCUGCGCACAAGGGAAAUACUGCGGGAGGAAGCGGAAGUAACCGCCCACCGCCACCGAUGACCUCAUGAACUUUGGUGCUACUGCAUGGUCCAGAAUGUAAAUCCCCACCAAGCUGAGACCCCCCCGGCCCCACGCUCCCGGCAGGGACCCCACGGCAGCGUCAGGGGCCACCCCCCCACCCCGGGAACCCCCCCAGCCCCAGCAGGGAGCGCGGAAUAAACUGCGGGGAGCAGCCGUCCCCCUUGGUGCU